AUUGAACGCUGGCGGCAGGCCUAACACAUGCAAGUCGAACGGUACAGGGAGGAGCUUGCUUCUUUGCCGACUGGCGGCCGGCGGGGUAAUAAUUGUUUGGCAACCGCCUGAUUGUGGGGGAUAACCACUGGAAACGGUCGCUUAUACCGCAUAACCUCCCCAUGCCCAAGGGGGGGGCCUUCGGGCCUGCUGCCGUCGGUUGUGUCCAGGUGGGUUUGGCUAGUAGGUGGGGUAACGGCUUCCCUAGGCGACGAUCCCUUGCUGGACUGAGAGGAUGACCAGCCACACUGGAACUGAGACACGGUCCAGACUCCUGCGGGAGGCAGCAGUGGGGAAUAUUGCACAAUGGGCGCAAGCCUGAUGCAGCCAUGCCGCGUGUAUGAAGAAGGCGUUCGGGUUGUAAAGUACUUUCAGCGGGGAGGAAGGGAGUAAAGUUAAUACCUUUGCUCAUUGACGUUACCCGCGGAAGAAGCACCGGCUAACUCCGUG
This 489-nucleotide ribosomal RNA is filed under the name uncultured bacterium. Its description in RNAcentral is "partial 16S ribosomal RNA". It matches the Rfam family "Bacterial small subunit ribosomal RNA", at positions 30 to 507 of the family's 1533-position model. The record is from RNAcentral.